Molecule: ribosomal RNA, 119 nt
Filed under: Oncorhynchus mykiss (rainbow trout)
Lineage: Eukaryota; Metazoa; Chordata; Actinopteri; Salmoniformes; Salmonidae
Source: RNAcentral
GCUUACGGCCACACAGGCCUGAGUACGCCUGAUCUCGUCCGAUCUCGGAAGCUAAGCAGGGUUGGGCCUGGUUAGUACUUGGAUGGGAGACCGCCUGGGAAUACCAGGUGCUGUAAGCU